Molecule: ribosomal RNA, 211 nt
Filed under: uncultured bacterium
Lineage: Bacteria
Description: partial 16S ribosomal RNA
Rfam family: Bacterial small subunit ribosomal RNA
Source: RNAcentral
GUUCGGAUUGUAGUCUGCAACCCGAACUACAUGAAGCCGGAAUCGCUAGUAAUCGCGAAUCAGCAUGUCGCGGUGAAUACGUUCCCGGGUCUUGUACACACCGCCCGUCACACCAUGGGAGUUGGUAACGCCCGAAGUCAGUGACCUAACCGCAAGGGAGGAGCUGCCGAAGGUGGGGCCAGUAACUGGGGUGAAGUCGUAACAAGGUACC